UACGUAGGGUGCGAGCGUUGUCCGGAAUUACUGGGCGUAAAGAGCUCGUAGGUGGUUUGUCGCGUUGUUCGUGAAAACUCACAGCUCAACUGUGGGCGUGCGGGCGAUACGGGCAGACUGGAGUACUGCAGGGGAGACUGGAAUUCCUGGUGUAGCGGUGAAAUGCGCAGAUAUCAGGAGGAACACCGGUGGCGAAGGCGGAUCUCUGGGCCGUAACUGACGCUGAGGAGCGAAAGCAUGGGGAGCGAACAGG
Molecule: ribosomal RNA, 253 nt
Filed under: uncultured bacterium
Lineage: Bacteria
Description: partial 16S ribosomal RNA
Rfam family: Bacterial small subunit ribosomal RNA
Source: RNAcentral